This 200-nucleotide ribosomal RNA is filed under the name uncultured bacterium. RNAcentral describes it as "partial 16S ribosomal RNA". It matches the Rfam family "Bacterial small subunit ribosomal RNA", at positions 8 to 199 of the family's 1533-position model. The record is from RNAcentral.
AGAGUUUGAUCCUGGCUCAGAACGAACGCUGGCGGCGUGCUUAACACAUGCAAGUCGCGUGCGUAGUUUGCGUAGCAAUACGUGAAUGGGCGCACGGCGCACGGGUGCGUAACACGUGGGCAACCUGCCCUCCGAUGGGGAAUAACCCCGCGAAAGCGGGGCUAAUACCGCAUAACAUUCCUUGGACUGUGGUCUGAGGA